GAUGAAGAACGUAGCGAAAUGCGAUACGUAAUGUGAAUUGCAAAUUCAGUGAAUCAUCGAGUCUUUGAACGCACAUUGCGCCCCCUGGUAUUCCGGGGGGCAUGCCUGUCCGAGCGUCAUUGCUGCCCUCAAGCACGGCUUGUGUGUUGGGCCCCGUCCUCCGAUCCCGGGGGACGGGCCCGAAAGGCAGCGGCGGCACCGCGUCCGGUCCUCGAGCGUAUGGGGCUUUGUCACCCGCUCUGUAGGCCCGGCCGGCGCUUGCCGAUCAACCCAAAUUUUUAUCCAGGUUGACCUCGGAUCAGGUAGGGAUACCCGCUGAACUUAAGCAUAUCAAUAAGCGGGGA
This 344-nucleotide unclassified non-coding RNA is filed under the name soil metagenome. RNAcentral's name for it is "partial contains 5.8S ribosomal RNA, internal transcribed spacer 2, and large subunit ribosomal RNA". The stretch from base 1 to 119 matches the Rfam family "5.8S ribosomal RNA", at positions 35 to 154 of the family's 154-position model. The record is from RNAcentral.